This is a long non-coding RNA of Eriocheir sinensis (Chinese mitten crab), 1825 nucleotides long. RefSeq lists it as uncharacterized. Lineage: Eukaryota; Metazoa; Arthropoda; Malacostraca; Decapoda; Varunidae. The record is from RefSeq and is a predicted model, not a curated record. The transcript has 4 exons.
CAAAAGAUGUUCCCAGUUUAAAUAAAGAAAUUUGGUAAUGACAUGAACGUCUGAUGUAUAUCAUGGAUAACGAAAUAUCAAUAGAAACCAUCAUCAUAGUACAUAGAGGAGAGACCUUUUUGAUCCUGCUUCAGAGAUUCGAAUGUUUCAUUCGAUGGUUUCUGAGCCGCGCAGUUCAGAGUGGCAGACCAGUCAGUGAGUGAGGCACAGCCAGGCAGGCAGGGAGGUUUUAGGCUGGUGCUCAGUCCUUUCCUAGCGCAGAGAAUUACGAUAGAAGAUACUGCAUAGGCGUGAGGCAAGACGUUUGUCUGGGUGCCGUGCUGCUGCACGGAACUGCAGCUGCCGCCCCCGUUGCAGUAAUAGCCGGGAUAAAGGCAUCCAAGGUGGAGGACGGCACGGCCCCAGCACUGGUUAGGUUUGUGGUGAUGUGGAGCCACCAGCCACAUAGCCACAUCCCCUCCACUCUUUCUUAAGCCCCAAGAAAAUCCCUCCACAGCUUUAGGGGAAGACAUGACAUGAAGAGCUCGUGUAGUCAUCCAUCGUCACCAAUCGGUCAGCUGCCUUUGUGCAAGUGGCUGAAAAUCUGCGAAUGAGGGAAUCCAUGAAUACAGGGGAACAAGUGCAUGCAGUAUUCAGCCUGGUGAGGAGCAAGAGAGAUGAAAAACAAUUAAUUGUGAGAAAGUGCAGCCAAAGGACACUCCUUGGUCUUUGGUGAAGAAGGGAAUUCCUAACUUAGACCAACUUCAAUCUUGGAUUCUCUUCUUGCAGGUGAAGGCAGUGUCUGCCAUCCAAUUAGUCUCCCAUCUGCCUAGCACCUCUGCAAGAGAAUCUUUGUUCAGCAGAGGGGAAGCUGAUUAUAAAUAAUCACAUUUUAGUACACCUGUGUAUGGUUUGCCUUAAUAGGGGCAUAUCAAUGCCACACUCUUUACAUAUGCAUGGCAGGCUAUGUUGACACCUCCAUACAGUUUCAGCUUUAGUCCAUUCAAUUGGGCUGGAUACCUGUCCCCUAGCCGAGUAAGUAAGGACACUUCUCAUUGACUGUUGGCAGACGGGUGUUUGACGUCUUUGUUGCCCAACAAGGUAGCCUAGUUUCAGAAAAUAUUCACAUUUCUCUACAAAGUACACAAAUUUUGACACGGAAAAAGCAGUAAUUGUACAACUAUAACACGUUUUUCAAAACUGUGUAAAAAAAUAAGGUAAAAUUAUGAUGAAUAGAUUCAAGUCAGAGAAAACAGUAAAGAAAUGUAAGUGCUUAGACAUCAUUUUACUAAUCAAAUAUGCAGCAAUUAUAGCACAAAUAGAAUAGAAUAUUUGUUUUUGUGCAUGAAAUUCUCCUGAAAAUUAUGGUACUUUGAUAUUAGAUAAUGUGAUACAUGAGUAGACAAGAAACGACUUGUACAAAGUUGUACGAUCAUGAAAGGUUAUUCUCUGACUGCUAUUCAACAUUAUUGUUUUACCCUAUUGAGUUUUGAAAACCACAUUGUAUUAAGGCCCGUCCACACGAUCGAGCAGUGCUCUCAAGCACAGGCGAGUGGUCUGCCCGUUGCUGGGCUUACCGCUUGUGCCCGCUGAAAACCUAGUAGUUUUUCAGCGGGCACAAGGAAGUUUUUCAGCUGACACAAGCGGUAAGCCCAUCGACGGGCAGACAGCUUGCCUGUGCCUGAGGGCACUGCUUGAUCGUGUGGACGGGCCUUUACCCUAUUGAGUUUUGAAAACCACAUUAGAAUUGUACAAUGAUUGCUCAAGACAAUGGUGUCAACAAAAAAUACCAUACCUAUCUUGUGUAACAGAUGCACUAAGUUAAAAAAAUGUGAAUAUUUUUUUA